CACCACCAUAAUCUGUCGCUAAACGCAGCCAUGAGAGAACUGCCUCCUGACUGUAGGACUUCAGGUGUGAGGUUUCAGUCAAGGAAGCUCCUGCAGAAUGUGCUCACAAGGCCAGAGCAUGCACUAGUGUUGCGUCCAGCGGCAGCAGCGGGAGGGAACUACGAGAAGUCUGACGCCGGGGUGGGGGGAAGCCUGAAGAAGCAGGCGCCGGGCUGCAAGUCCAAUCCGAUACAAAAUUAGUAAGCAAACGCUGAUUUAUGAGUAGAAAAUUAGACACUUUUCUGUUUUGGCAACCUGGAAUUUUGGGUUCAUAUAUCGUCACAAUACCCAAUUUUGUUUUGCACUUUGUACUAAUAGAGAUAGAGAGUAUAAAGCUAGAUACAAAAAGAUAUAUAUUCGUAGUUUAUUUUUCCUUUUCUCCCACUUGUUUGUAUUUUUGCUCUUCUGCCACAUUAGCCUUCGAGGCUAUCACAACUUUAGCAAUCUAUGAAGCCCACUGAGCGAGAUUGGGUUGGAAAUGCAAAUCGAGUUCUCUA
This is a long non-coding RNA of Brachypodium distachyon (stiff brome), 536 nucleotides long. RefSeq lists it as uncharacterized. The record is from RefSeq and is a predicted model, not a curated record. Lineage: Eukaryota; Viridiplantae; Streptophyta; Magnoliopsida; Poales; Poaceae. The transcript has 2 exons.